UUUCGUAGGUGAACCUGCGGAAGGAUCAUUAUUGUAUAACCGAGGUGCGAGGGCUGUCGCUGACCCGAAAGGUCGUGCACGCCCGAGUGCCCUCACACACAUCCAUCUCACCCCUAUGUGCACAACCGCGUGGGUCCCCCUUUGGCUUGUUCGGAGGGGGGCUUACGUUUUCACACAAACUUUGUAUGCAGUGUAGAAUGUAUUUUUUGUUUUUGCGAUCACGCAAUCAAUACAACUUUCAACAACGGAUCUCUUGGCUCUC
RNAcentral lists this unclassified non-coding RNA (262 nucleotides) under plant metagenome. RNAcentral's name for it is "partial contains small subunit ribosomal RNA, internal transcribed spacer 1, and 5.8S ribosomal RNA". The record is from RNAcentral.